UGCCAUAAAUUCAUUGAAACACUGGUUCUCAUAUGAUCACUAAUCAAAUUAAGCAAUAUUGAGACUGGUCAGUACCUAGAUGUGUGACUGCUUGGGAAUACCAGGUGCUGUAAG
Non-coding RNA from Acanthosepion pharaonis, 114 nucleotides. The record is from the annotation of a GenBank genome assembly. Lineage: Eukaryota; Metazoa; Mollusca; Cephalopoda; Sepiida; Sepiidae.